Homo sapiens (human) is the source of this 1455-nucleotide long non-coding RNA. Ensembl annotates it as Pvt1 oncogene. Its record names the gene PVT1. The record is from Ensembl. NCBI's taxonomy places the organism in Eukaryota, Metazoa, Chordata, Mammalia, Primates, Hominidae.
UGGGUGUAGACUUUCAGGAAGCACAGCCAUGAAGCUGCAUGCGUCUGUGUGUGGAUGCCUCAUGCCUUUUCCUGGUGGUUUGCAGGCAUGGAAGAUUCUUCUGUUCAUCUAAGCUCCUGACUUUAGGCCCUUCUAGAACAUUAGAGAGGAGAAGAAAUCACGUGCAAGGAUUUAGGGACAAGAGGAUGAGGUUUUGGUGUUUCCUUUCUGGUAUUAGGUUUUCCAGAGAGAGGCUGUUAGCCUGUCUCUCGCCCACUCCACCACUGUGAAUCCUGGCUACUGGGGCUAGUUCCUUGCUAGGAAAAAAAAACUCUAGAGAAAUGUGUUUGUGUGUGGUGGGUGGGCGGGGGCCCUGAGGAUGCAGGGACUGUGUCUGCUGUGUUGUCUGUUAUAAGAUGUUUCAGACCUAUUUUGCAUACUGGCAGCGACAAGUUGAGACUUGUUCAACUUGACACAGUCCUGUGGUCAUAGCGAAUCUUUCUAAAGCUCUGAUCAGUCAAGAAGGGGGUUGUAUCAAUCCUCAGAACCCUGAGUGGAACUUUCUACAGGAUUUAUUAGGAGAAAAACCUUCCCGGAAGCUGCAGAAGGACAAAUACAGAAUCCGUGUCUGGGAGAAACCUCGUGGCCUGGUCUCCAUUAUUUGAGAUGAGUUACAUCUUGGAGGCCUGAUCUUUUGGCCAGAAGGAGAUUAAAAAGAUGCCCCUCAAGAUGGCUGUGCCUGUCAGCUGCAUGGAGCUUCGUUCAAGUAUUUUCUGAGCCUGAUGGAUUUACAGUGAUCUUCAGUGGUCUGGGGAAUAACGCUGGUGGAACCAUGCACUGGAAUGACACACGCCCGGCACAUUUCAGGAUACUAAAAGUGGUUUUAAGGGAGGCUGUGGCUGAAUGCCUCAUGGAUUCUUACAGCUUGGAUGUCCAUGGGGGACGAAGGACUGCAGCUGGCUGAGAGGGUUGAGAUCUCUGUUUACUUAGAUCUCUGCCAACUUCCUUUGGGUCUCCCUAUGGAAUGUAAGACCCCGACUCUUCCUGGUGAAGCAUCUGAUGCACGUUCCAUCCGGCGCUCAGCUGGGCUUGAGAUUCCUGGGAACACCACCAUGGAGGGCCUGGCCUUUGGCGGUGGACAGUCUGUGGCUGGGUGGGAACGUCAGGAGUGGGGCCUGCCUCUUUGCUGGGAAUGCCGUGCACUCCCAGCCCACUUGCCCCAUGCCAGCACUCGAGGCAGGACUUCGCAGGUGAGCAGUAACGGAAAUCAGCCCCGUUUAUUCCUCCCAGCACCUGCCUUAUCCAACUCCCCACGCUGUGGCUGAGUCCCAGCCUGCUAUGGAAGCAUCACUGGACUCCCAUUGAACUCUGUGCAGAUUCGCUGUUCGUAGACAUGGUACCUGAUGGACACCAAGCUACGUACAGCUUCAAGGCCCCUUCUUUCUUUGCUAAUAAAAAAUAAAAAAUAAAAACAUA